This 1503-nucleotide ribosomal RNA is filed under the name Salmonella enterica subsp. enterica serovar Enteritidis. RNAcentral's name for it is "partial 23S ribosomal RNA". It matches the Rfam family "Bacterial large subunit ribosomal RNA", at positions 161 to 1566 of the family's 2925-position model. The record is from RNAcentral. Lineage: Bacteria; Pseudomonadati; Pseudomonadota; Gammaproteobacteria; Enterobacterales; Enterobacteriaceae.
AAUCCAUAGGUUAAUGAGGCGAACCGGGGGAACUGAAACAUCUAAGUACCCCGAGGAAAAGAAAUCAACCGAGAUUCCCCCAGUAGCGGCGAGCGAACGGGGAGGAGCCCAGAGCCUGAAUCAGCAUGUGUGUUAGUGGAAGCGUCUGGAAAGGCGCGCGAUACAGGGUGACAGCCCCGUACACAAAAGCGCAUGUGCUGUGAGCUCGAUGAGUAGGGCGGGACACGUGGUAUCCUGUCUGAAUAUGGGGGGACCAUCCUCCAAGGCUAAAUACUCCUGACUGACCGAUAGUGAACCAGUACCGUGAGGGAAAGGCGAAAAGAACCCCGGCGAGGGGAGUGAAAAAGAACCUGAAACCGUGUACGUACAAGCAGUGGGAGCCCCACCACCAAAGCAUUUGCUGUACCGCGUUGACGGAGCGAAGCGACGUCAAACCGAUAAAACAGCAGUGUAAAGUGAGCCGCAGGGCGCUUUGCGCGACAGCGCAAAGGCAGGCGGUUUCGCGUAGCGAAAGCGAAUGCUUUGGGGUGGGGUGACUGCGUACCUUUUGUAUAAUGGGUCAGCGACUUAUAUUCUGUAGCAAGGUUAACCGAAUAGGGGAGCCGGAGGGAAACCGAGUCUUAAUUGGGCGUUAAGUUGCAGGGUAUAGACCCGAAACCCGGUGAUCUAGCCAUGGGCAGGUUGAAGGUUGGGUAACACUAACUGGAGGACCGAACCGACUAAUGUUGAAAAAUUAGCGGAUGACCUGUGGCUGGGGGUGAAAGGCCAAUCAAACCGGGAGAUAGCUGGUUCUCCCCGAAAGCUAUUUAGGUAGCGCCUCGUGAAUUCAUCUCCGGGGGUAGAGCACUGUUUCGGCUAGGGGGCCAUCCCGGCUUACCAACCCGAUGCAAACUGCGAAUACCGGAGAAUGUUAUCACGGGAGACACACGGCGGGUGCUAACGUCCGUCGUGAAGAGGGAAACAACCCAGACCGCCAGCUAAGGUCCCAAAGUCAUGGUUAAGUGGGAAACGAUGUGGGAAGGCCCAGACAGCCAGGAUGUUGGCUUAGAAGCAGCCAUCAUUUAAAGAAAGCGUAAUAGCUCACUGGUCGAGUCGGCCUGCGCGGAAGAUGUAACGGGGCUAAACCAUGCACCGAAGCUGCGGCAGCGACACUGUGUGUUGUUGGGUAGGGGAGCGUUCUGUAAGCCUGUGAAGGUGUGUCGUGAGGCAUGCUGGAGGUAUCAGAAGUGCGAAUGCUGACAUAAGUAACGAUAAAGCGGGUGAAAAGCCCGCUCGCCGGAAGACCAAGGGUUCCUGUCCAACGUUAAUCGGGGCAGGGUGAGUCGACCCCUAAGGCGAGGCCGAAAGGCGUAGUCGAUGGGAAACGGGUUAAUAUUCCCGUACUUGGUGUUACUGCGAAGGGGGGACGGAGAAGGCUAUGUUGGCCGGGCGACGGUUGUCCCGGUUUAAGCGUGUAGGUGUGUGUUCCAGGUAAAUCCGGUUCACUUUAACACUGAGGCGUGA